GGUGAACGCUGGCGGCGUGCCUAACACAUGCAAGUCGAGCGGUGCAGUUUGAAGCUUCGGUGGAAAGCUGCAUAGCGGCGGACGGGUGAGGAAAACGUAGUAACCAACCCUUUAGACUGGGAUAGCCACUGGAAACGGUGGGUAAUACCGGAUAAGCUCGAGAGAGGAAAGGCAGAGAAGCGCUAAAGGACGGAACCUGCGCCCCAUCAGAUAGUUGGUGAGGUAAAGGCUUACCAAGUCAAAGACGGGAAACCGACGUGAGAGCGUGUACGGUCACAAGGGCACUGAGAGACGGGCCCUACUCCUACGGGAGGCAGCAGUGGGGAAUAUUGGACAAUGGACGAAAGUCUGAUCCAGCGACGCCGCGUGGAGGAAGAAGUCCUUCGGGAUGUAAACUCAUGAAGCUAACGAAUAAGACGGAAGGGGAACCUUCCGGGAGAAGGUAAUUAGUGAAAAGCCCCGGCUAACUACGUGCCAGCAGCCGCGGUAACUAGUCUACG
This 500-nucleotide ribosomal RNA is filed under the name uncultured bacterium. Its description in RNAcentral is "bacterial SSU rRNA". It matches the Rfam family "Bacterial small subunit ribosomal RNA", at positions 28 to 527 of the family's 1533-position model. The record is from RNAcentral.